This is a long non-coding RNA of Cyprinodon tularosa, 1896 nucleotides long. RefSeq lists it as uncharacterized. The transcript is spliced from 3 exons. The record is from RefSeq and is a predicted model, not a curated record. NCBI's taxonomy places the organism in Eukaryota, Metazoa, Chordata, Actinopteri, Cyprinodontiformes, Cyprinodontidae.
UGAAAUCUUUGCUUUGUAGCUAAAGUCAACAGUGACAGAGUUUGAGCUCAAAUAAAUGCUGUGAUGUCUGGAGCCCUUUGCAGAAGGCAGAAGGCAAGCUUCUACAAUGGGCUUCUGCAGGGCUUGCCAACAAGCAGCGGCUAUUUUUCACAGGGCUCUGCUGAAUGAAGUGAUCCCCACGGCCUGAGCGGAGGAGAGGAGGGAGAGGAAGCCUCAGAGGGAAGAGGGAUAGCUUUGGAGGGGCCUUGCUGAUGCACUCAUGCUCACACAAACUCAAACACAAUGUCCCCUCUCAGCCCUGCACUGUGACCGGCCCGUGGCAUUGCCCAGAUGUUCUUGGAUGUUCAACUUCCUGCUCUCCUCACUUUCAUCUCCCUGCAUCAUUCAAGCUGAAAACUCCUUCCUGUCGAUGUAUUUGGCUAUAUCUGUGUCUGACCUGUCUGCCAUAUGUAAUAUCAAAGCCUCUGUCAGCACAGAGCUGAAUGGGAACAAAAGAGAGGCCUCUAUUAAUGAUUAACUGUUCUAAAAGCCCCGGCUUUUGUAUUCCCAUGGUGCCCAGGCUAUCUGGCCACCAUGUGACAUGCUCACAGCAUUUUUCGAGCAGAUUGAGGGAAAGCUAGUGAGCAAACACAGGUGCUUUGGAGCAGCGGUGCCGACGCUGUCAGGGACAACCACAAACAAGAGCAGCUAUGCCUGGCUAAAUGAAUCCCCACCCCUCCCAGCGCCAUCACCACCUCCUCAACCCCCCGCUCUGUCACCAGCUAACUUGUUUGCUAGCUGCCUAUAGCUUUCUUCUGCAUGGUCUCCGAAAGCCCCCCCCCCUUUCCCUUGCACAAAUGUAAUGACCGCCACAGCCAGGCUCCAGAACUUCUCACACUCUCCAAAGAAACAAACAAAUAAAAGUGAGGACUGCCGACCACUUCUUUGAGGUGAUGGCAUUUGCUGCGGUCAUGACUAGUGGGUGAGCAAACAAAUUAAUGGUGUCCGUGUUUUCACUUUCUAAACUAAACUAAAUGUCUUUUAGUUCAAGUGGGGCAAUACCACUGACCCCGGUGUCAAAUGCUGCGGAAAGGUUGCACACUCUGGCUCUUGAAAUGUUAAGAGCAGGCCAUAAGAAAUUACCCAGGACUUAAGUAUAGCUGUACAGUACAUAACUAGGAUAAUGCCAAAUAAGUUAUCUGAUUAAAAUACAGGCUUAUAGUUUAAAAAGCUCCAUAUUUUGGCCACAAACUGUAACAAAAAGGCCUUUAUAGCUCUUAACCUUUUCAUCAGAGUGAUGCGGGGGGGCUGUGUCGUUCCACUUUGAUAAGACAAUCAGAUGAUAGGAUGGCGUUAUCUUAACACAGCUUUUCCGGCUGGAAGACAAAUGAACAGUGUGUGAUAAAGGGAACAGAAGAUUUAGCUCUUAUUGGCUGGUUCCUCUGAGAAAGGGAAAAAUUAUCAGAGUGGAAAAUUCACAUCAGGUGCUGGUAUUUCAAUUUCAAUUCGGUACUCAAGCCAGGUCACAGGGACAGCUUUAUUUCCUUAUCACUUAAUAUUCCUGUCAUCUCAGGCAGGUUUUUUGGUUCUUAAAAAUUGCAUUUUGAACCUGUAAAGCAGCCAUCGAAGGAUAAAGGGGAUAAAAGUGUUUCAUAAAAAAACAGAAAAAGCAGAAAAAAAGGAUGGUUUCUUUUUCAACUUCCCAAUGAUCAAUUAAACAUAGGUUUUCCUGUGGGUUUUCUGACUUUUACAGGCUAAAUCGUAUUGUAAGAAAAAUCUGAGGAUUCACUCUUUUGUUUUUUUUUGCCAUCUCCAUGAGAAAAGAUUGGAUAAUAUUAUUGCUCCCUGGAAUAAAAUGUUAUCACUGUGAUGGAAAAAAAUGGAAAAUUAUGAAAACAAAAAACAAAAACAAAAAAA